AUGGGGCUGUUCAUGGCAGCAGCAGCAUGGGAAUUCAGUGGUAGCAGCUUGAUAACAAAAGAGGAGCUGUUAUCAGGGUUUCUGAGGGAAGCAAAAGCUGAAGAGAGGAGAAGGAGUGGCUGACCAGCACUUGUGCUUUGGCCUCCUUGAUGAUGCACCUCUAUUCUCAUCUAGCAUGAGUGACCUCAUUCCAAUCCUGUCCUACUUUAAGAAUCUUCAGCUAUCUUCUUAGGAUGUCCAUCAACUGUUGGCAAGGCCUACCUCGAAGACAUGGUGCUAUGAUUUUAUGAUUAUGGAUAAUUUUGGUAUUUCUCAGUUUCACAACUCUCACCAUAUUGUCAAUAUUUCUCUUGAUUAACAAGCCAUUUUUCCUUUAUUGCUUUCCUGUUCUCUAGAACUUUCUUGUUUAUAUUGUUAAAUAAAUGUCUUCUUCCUUUGCUUUUUUCCCCAAGGCUUUCACUGCAGCUUCAGCACCUUUUUUUCAAGUUUUCCCAAGUUCUGUUGAUAUUUUUCUCACUUUCUUUGACUUACAACUUUUCAAAUAUAUUCUUUAUCAAGCUGUUAUUUCUCCUUAAUAAAGGAUACCAUUAAUUUGCAUGACUGAGUAUCAUCAUGAGACUUAGAAAACCACAGAAUCUUAAUU
Molecule: long non-coding RNA, 643 nt
Organism: Alligator sinensis (Chinese alligator)
Lineage: Eukaryota; Metazoa; Chordata; Crocodylia; Alligatoridae
Exons: 3
Source: RefSeq, a predicted model, not a curated record